Neofelis nebulosa (Clouded leopard) is the source of this 1038-nucleotide long non-coding RNA. RefSeq lists it as uncharacterized. The record is from RefSeq and is a predicted model, not a curated record. The transcript has 2 exons. Lineage: Eukaryota; Metazoa; Chordata; Mammalia; Carnivora; Felidae.
UUCAACGUAUGGAACCUACAGGGAAGUAGUUACUUUUGAUCUCAUCCCCUGGGUAACGUGUGUUGUGAGCUUCAGAGCCUGGUGACCACGUCAUUGUCCACUCCAUGCCCCGCACGUUCAUGGUAGUUCUUGUCUUUAUAUAAAUGAUGCAUUAUGACUGCAAACUGGGACAUUUUCAUCAGUUGCCCAAGGAGUCAGUACUUGCUGCACUGAGUGGAGAAGAUUGUGUGGCCCCACUUGGUGCAGGGCAGGUGCAUGGGGCCUUCACUGCGGCUAAGACCUCUCAUCCUCCACGGACGCACAGGCACAUGAGCCCCGUGCAUUGCACGGACAAUGCCAAGGACGAUGCAUUGAUUCACUUGGGAGACAACCCACCUGGAAGAACUUCAGAUCCAUUCCAACUCCAGUGCUCUAAGUGCUAGUCUCAGCACUACUGUUAUCGAAGGUGUGAUUGUUAGUGAAGGAAAGAUGGAUGUUUUUCCCAACAUCGACAAAAAGACAAUUUUCCCAUAAGAAUAUCUCUCGUGACUGGGAAUGUUUAAGGGAGUGGUGUCUCAGCCUCUCUGGCUCAUCAACAAUAAUUUAUUAUGAGUCCUAUUAUUUAUAAGCCCUCCCCAGGCUUAUGAAGGGUUUCAGCUUAUAUGUCAUUUUCUUUCCUUCACCCCUAUGGGAUGGGAAGCGUCCCUGUGUCCCUGCAUAGAAAGGAGCCAGGCUGGGUUCAUGUAAAUAUUUCAACUUUGUGUUCAGAAAAGAAAUGAUUACAGGCCAAAGUUCUAUUCUAACUCACUUAAAACAAGAGAGAAAUUAAUUUUAACAGAAUCUAUUGAUGAAGAAGGAUGAAUAUAUGAUUCAUUCCCUUUCUUGAUUUAAUAUGGAUUUUUAUUCCAUGUAGUAUUACUUACUGAGUGCAAAGACUAAAUUCAUCUUUUACUUUUCAAUCAGUUAUCAUCUUAUCAUCGAAUAGAACACAAUUAAUUGGGCACUUAGUUUAUUCAAUCAUUGUAGUUGCCAAAAAAAACAAUAAACUAUUCAAUUUUU